This 497-nucleotide ribosomal RNA is filed under the name uncultured bacterium. Its description in RNAcentral is "partial 16S ribosomal RNA". It matches the Rfam family "Bacterial small subunit ribosomal RNA", at positions 28 to 507 of the family's 1533-position model. The record is from RNAcentral.
GAUGAACGCUGGCGGCGUGCCUAAUACAUGCAAGUCGAGCGAACAGACGAGGAGCUUGCUCCUCUGACGUUAGCGGCGGACGGGUGAGUAACACGUGGAUAACCUACCUAUAAGACUGGGAUAACUUCGGGAAACCGGAGCAAAUACCGGAUAAUAUUUUGAACCGCAUGGUUCAAUAGUGAAAGACGGUUUUGCUGUCACUUAUAGCUGGAUCCGCGCUGCAUUAGCUAGUUGGUAAGGUAACGGCUUACCAAGGCAACGAUGCGUAGCCGACCUGAGAGGGGGUUCGCCCACAUGGGAGGUGGAACGCGGUCCUGACUCCUACGGGAGGCAGCAGUAGGGAAUGGUCCGCAAUGGGCGAAAGCCUGACGGAUCAACGCCGCGUGAGUGAUGAAGGUCUUCGGAGCGUAAAACUGUGUUAUUAGGGAAGAACACAUGUGUAAGUAACUAUGCACGUCUUGACGGUACCUAGUCAGAAAGCCACGGCUAACUACGUG